RNAcentral lists this ribosomal RNA (324 nucleotides) under uncultured soil bacterium. Its description in RNAcentral is "bacterial SSU rRNA". It matches the Rfam family "Bacterial small subunit ribosomal RNA", at positions 26 to 336 of the family's 1533-position model. The record is from RNAcentral.
AGAACGAACGCUGGCGGCGUGGAUAAGACAUGCAAGUCGAACGGGACAACAUCUGUAGCAAUACAGGUGUUGUUUAGUGGCGAACGGGUGCGUAACACGUGGGCAAUCUGCCGAGAAGUGGGGGAUAGCUCGCCGAAAGGCGAAUUAAUACCGCAUAUGAUCAGGGACGACAUCUUCCCAACAUCAAAGCCGGGGUAACCUGGCGCUUCUUGAUGAGCCCGCGGCCUAUCAGCUAGUUGGUGAGGUAACGGCUCACCAAGGCUAUGACGGGUAGCUGGUCUGAGAGGACGACCAGUCACACUGGAACUGAGACACGGUCCAGAC